RNAcentral lists this ribosomal RNA (492 nucleotides) under uncultured bacterium. Its description in RNAcentral is "partial 16S ribosomal RNA". It matches the Rfam family "Bacterial small subunit ribosomal RNA", at positions 29 to 507 of the family's 1533-position model. The record is from RNAcentral.
AGUGAACGCUGGCGGUAGGCCUAACACAUGCAAGUCGAACGGCAGCACAGUAAGAGCUUGCUCUUACGGGUGGCGAGUGGCGGACGGGUGAGGAAUACAUCGGAAUCUACUUUUUCGUGGGGGAUAACGUAGGGAAACUUACUCUAAUACCGCAUACGACCUACGGGUGAAAGCAGGGGAUCUUCGGACCUUGCGCGAUUGAAUGAGCCGAUGUCGGAUUAGCUAGUUGGCGGGGUAAAGGCCCACCAAGGCGACGAUCCGUAGCUGGUCUGAGAGGAUGAUCAGCAACACUGGAACUGAGACACGGUCCAGACUCCUACGGGAGGCAGCAGUGGGGAAUAUUGGACAAUGGGCGAAAGCCUGAUCCAGCCAUACCGCGUGGGUGAAGAAGGCCUUCGGGUUGUAAAGCCCUUUUGUUGGGAAAGAAAAGCAGCAGGUUAAUACCCCGCUGUUCUGACGGUACCCAAAGAAUAAGCACCGGCUAACUUCGUG